GCUCAGGAUGAACGCUGGCGGCGUGCCUAAUACAUGCAAGUCGAGCGAACAGACGAGGAGCUUGCUCCUCUGACGUUAGCGGCGGACGGGUGAGUAACACGUGGAUAACCUACCUAUAAGACUGGGAUAACUUCGGGAAACCGGAGCUAAUACCGGAUAAUAUAUUGAACCGCAUGGUUCAAUAGUGAAAGACGGUUUUGCUGUCACUUAUAGAUGGAUCCGCGCCGCAUUAGCUAGUUGGUAAGGUAACGGCUUACCAAGGCAACGAUGCGUAGCCGACCUGAGAGGGUGAUCGGCCACACUGGAACUGAGACACGGUCCAGACUCCUACGGGAGGCAGCAGUAGGGAAUCUUCCGCAAUGGGCGAAAGCCUGACGGAGCAACGCCGCGUGAGUGAUGAAGGUCUUCGGAUCGUAAAACUCUGUUAUUAGGGAAGAACAAAUGUGUAAGUAACUAUGCACGUCUUGACGGUACCUAAUCAGAAAGCCACGGCUAACUACGUGCCAGCAGCCGCGGUAAUACGUAGGUGGCAAGCGUUAUCCGGAAUUAUUGGGCGUAAAGCGCGCGUAGGCGGUUUUUUAAGUCUGAUGUGAAAGCCCACGGCUCAACCGUGGAGGGUCAUUGGAAACUGGAAAACUUGAGUGCAGAAGAGGAAAGUGGAAUUCCAUGUGUAGCGGUGAAAUGCGCAGAGAUAUGGAGGAACACCAGUGGCGAAGGCGACUUUCUGGUCUGUAACUGACGCU
This 743-nucleotide ribosomal RNA is filed under the name Staphylococcus sp. G891. RNAcentral's name for it is "bacterial SSU rRNA". It matches the Rfam family "Bacterial small subunit ribosomal RNA", at positions 22 to 747 of the family's 1533-position model. The record is from RNAcentral. Lineage: Bacteria; Bacillati; Bacillota; Bacilli; Caryophanales; Staphylococcaceae.